GCUGGGCGUGGUGGCGGGUGCCUGUAAUCCCAUCUACUUGGGAGGCUGAGGCAGGAGAAUUGCUUGAACCCAGGAGGUGGAGGUUGCAGUGAGCCAAGAUUGCACCAUUGCACUCCAGCCUGAGUGACAGAGCAAGACUCUGUCUCAA
This 148-nucleotide non-coding RNA is filed under the name Homo sapiens (human). Lineage: Eukaryota; Metazoa; Chordata; Mammalia; Primates; Hominidae. The record is from Rfam by way of RNAcentral.